UCCCAGUCCACCCCUGUCUAGACCGGUUACUCGCUGAAGCUAAGCAGGGCUGAGCCUGGUCAGUACCUGGAUGGGAGACCACAUGGGUAAACUAGGUUACUGUUGGAA
Molecule: ribosomal RNA, 108 nt
Filed under: Danio rerio (zebrafish)
Lineage: Eukaryota; Metazoa; Chordata; Actinopteri; Cypriniformes; Danionidae
Source: RNAcentral